RNAcentral lists this unclassified non-coding RNA (21 nucleotides) under Chlamydomonas reinhardtii. RNAcentral describes it as "small RNA Cre_2128". The record is from RNAcentral. Lineage: Eukaryota; Viridiplantae; Chlorophyta; Chlorophyceae; Chlamydomonadales; Chlamydomonadaceae.
UAACGACGCCGGUAGGUGCCC